UACGUAGGAUGCAAGCGUUGCUCGGAAUUAUUGGGUGUAAAGCGCGCGUAGGUGGUCUGAUAAGUCAGGGGUGAAAGCCCUCGGCUCAACCGGGGAAUUGCCUUUGAAACUAUCAGGCUUGAGUAUGGGAGAGGGAAACGGAAUUCCUGGUGUAGCGGUGAAAUGCGUAGAUAUCAGGAGGAACAUCAGCGGCGAAGGCGGUUUCCUGGACCAAUACUGACACUGAGGCGCGAAAGCGUGGGGAGCAAACAGG
RNAcentral lists this ribosomal RNA (253 nucleotides) under uncultured bacterium. Its description in RNAcentral is "partial 16S ribosomal RNA". It matches the Rfam family "Bacterial small subunit ribosomal RNA", at positions 524 to 776 of the family's 1533-position model. The record is from RNAcentral.